GGGCCCGCACAAGCGGUGGAGUAUGUGGUUUAAUUCGAUGCAACGCGAAGAACCUUACCAGGGUUUGACAUCCUGCGAAUCUCUUGGAAACGAGAGAGUGCCUUCGGGAACGCAGUGACAGGUGGUGCAUGGCUGUCGUCAGCUCGUGUCGUGAGAUGUUGGGUUAAGUCCCGCAACGAGCGCAACCCACGUCUUUAGUUGCCAGCAUUUAGUUGGGCACUCUAGAGAGACUGCCGGUGAUAAACCGGAGAAGGUGUGGAUGACGUCAAGUCAUCAUGCCCCUUACAUCUGGGCUACACACGUACUACAAUGCUACGGACAAAGGGCAGCAAACUCGCGAGAGCUAGCAAAUCCCAUAAAGCAGUCUC
Molecule: ribosomal RNA, 368 nt
Filed under: uncultured bacterium
Lineage: Bacteria
Description: bacterial SSU rRNA
Rfam family: Bacterial small subunit ribosomal RNA
Source: RNAcentral